GUACACUCCUGCGGGAGGCAGCAGUGGGGAAUAUUGGACAAUGGGCGCAAGCCUGAUCCAGCCAUGCCGCGUGAGUGAUGAAGGCCCUAGGGUUGUAAAGCUCUUUCACCGGUGAAGAUAAUGACGGUAACCGGAGAAGAAGCCCCGGCUAACUUCGUGCCAGCAGCCGCGGUAAUACGAAGGGGGCUAGCGUUGUUCGGAUUUACUGGGCGUAAAGCGCACGUAGGCGGACUAUUAAGUCAGGGGUGAAAUCCCGGGGAUCAACCCCGGAACUGCCUUUGAUACUGGUAGUCUUGAGUUCGAGAGAGGUGAGUGGAAUUCCGAGUGUAGAGGGGAAAUUCGUAGAUAUUCGGAGGAACACCAGUGGCGAAGGCGGCUCACUGGCUCGAUACUGACGCUGAGGUGCGAAAGCGGGGGGAGCAAACAGGAUUAGAAACCCCAGUAGUCCC
This 449-nucleotide ribosomal RNA is filed under the name uncultured organism. RNAcentral's name for it is "partial 16S ribosomal RNA". It matches the Rfam family "Bacterial small subunit ribosomal RNA", at positions 331 to 797 of the family's 1533-position model. The record is from RNAcentral.